AUGGGGACCCGUGCCCUUCCGCUCCCUUGCCAAUUCGAGCUCCUCCUCGGCGAAGACCGCGACAGGUGGCCGCCGGAGGCCAGGUUCAUCGAGGCCGCCCACCGCGGCGACGUCCGCGGCAUCAAGGAGAUUGCAAAGGAGCUGGACGUGCACGGGCACGGGAUCCCGGUGACGGUGGCCAGCACGAGCUACAUGGGCAUGAACGCGCUCCACGCCGCCGGCGGCCGCGGCAGGCUGCCCGUGUACCAGUACCUCGUCGAGGAGGUCAAGAUGGACAUCAACAAGCCUGACACCUCCCAGGAUUAUUCACCCGUGGAGCAUGCCGUUACCUAUGGCAACCUUCCUGCUGUCAGGUACCUUCUUGAUCAUGGCGCCGAUGUGCAUCAACAACGUUCAGGAAACAUCAGUCUUCUUCAUUCAGCUGCACUUCAUGGGCACUCUGAAAUAGUAAAGUAUCUUCUCUCUAGAGGAGUGGAUAUUGAUGCACAAUCAAUUAUUGGGACACCAAUCGCUUUUGCUGUUCAGAAAGGACAUGCUGCUGUUGUGAAGAUACUUUUGCAGCACAAUGCAGAUCCCAACAAGGGUACUCGUAUUCUUGGACCUUUAGACAUGGCGUUACACAAAUCUAAUGUGUCUUGUGCGAAGCUAUUGAUUCAGGGUGGAGCUAAUGUGAGUGGUGCUGGUCCUUGUUAUAAUCCCUUGGUAACGGCUGCAGAGAAGGGCUUAACUGAAGCUAUCAAGUGCUUGUUGGAAGCUGGUGCAAAUCCAAAUGUUCUUGACAAGUUUGGUAGAUUGCCAAUAGAGUUGGCUGCUGAGUAUGGUACACGGGAAGACGUUGAGAUGCUCUUUCCUUCCACCUUGCCAAUUUCAACUGUGACAAAUUGGAGCGUUGACGGAAUCAUUAGUCAUGUGAAGAUGGAAAUCAAGCAGCUUGAGGAUGACAAUUUUGUCCAAACGAGGGUGUCUGACCUGAAACGACAAGGAGACGAAGCAUUUAAGAAGCAGGAUUAUCUGAACGCAUCGGUGUUCUACACACAGGCUCUGAAGAUGGAUAACUUCGACGCGAAGUUGUUAUCAAACAGGAGUCUUUGCUGGCUUCGCAUGGGUAAUGGGGAAAGGGCUUUUGGUGAUGCACAUGAAUGCAUAGCGCUUUGCCCGAAAUGGGCAAAGGCACACUAUCGGCUACGCACAGCUUUUAUGUUUAUGGAGGAUUACAACGGUGCCUAUCAGUCUCUCUCGCGCGCUUUAGAGCUGGACCCUGAAAGUAAGGAGAUCGAGAAAUUGUUCUGGGAGGCAAUGGAACUAAUGAGUUAG
RNAcentral lists this ribosomal RNA (1314 nucleotides) under Triticum aestivum (bread wheat). RNAcentral describes it as "partial small subunit ribosomal RNA". Lineage: Eukaryota; Viridiplantae; Streptophyta; Magnoliopsida; Poales; Poaceae. The record is from RNAcentral.